UACGUAGGGGGCAAGCGUUGUCCGGAAUCAUUGGGCGUAAAGAGCGUGUAGGCGGCCCGGUAAGUCCGCUGUGAAAGUCCAGGGCUCAACCCUGGAAUGCCGGUGGAAACUGUCGGGCUAGAGUCCGGAAGAGGCGAGUGGAAUUCCUGGUGUAGCGGCGAAAUGCGCAGAUAUCAGGAGGAACACCAAUGGCGAAGGCAGCUCGCUGGGACGGUACUGACGCUGAGACGCGAAAGCGUGGGGAGCAAACAGG
This 253-nucleotide ribosomal RNA is filed under the name uncultured bacterium. Its description in RNAcentral is "partial 16S ribosomal RNA". It matches the Rfam family "Bacterial small subunit ribosomal RNA", at positions 524 to 776 of the family's 1533-position model. The record is from RNAcentral.